AAGUGACUACAAGUAAGAUAAGAAUGACGGAUACACAAGAGAAGUCAUCCAAUCUGCCAAAGGGGAAAGAAAUUGCUUGUUUGACAAGUAUGAUUGUGAAGACUUAAGUAUCAUUGAUAAUAAUCAUAACAACGAGGAAAAUACAGAGGGUUCCGGCUUUCCGUCCUUAGUUACUAUGCGGCAACAACGUGCAUGGGGACAAGUUAGACAAAAUUUUGCUGAUAUGAUGGAAAAGAUGCAGCAGACAUGGCGAUUAGGAGACAAAGGUGUCGUCUUCUAGACUAACUAUGCGGAGGUGGUGAAUUUGUUUAAGGAGAAUCAAAGUACUUGGCCAUGAGAGAUUUUUUUUUUUUUUUUUUUUUUCGGAUUUGAAAUAUUUUAGUAGAUGUUUUGUAAUUUUUAAUCUGGUGAAACAAUGUCGUGAUCAAGUCGUAGGGGGCAUCAGUUAGCUACUAAAUGAAUGGAUCUGUAAUCAACUUCUAACUUCCCGACCCUCCUCCUCGUAGUUUUCCAAUGAAUUUUCUUUCCUAUGUUAAAAAAAAAAUUAUAGCUUUGUUGA
Macadamia integrifolia is the source of this 559-nucleotide long non-coding RNA. RefSeq lists it as uncharacterized. The transcript has 2 exons. The record is from RefSeq and is a predicted model, not a curated record. Lineage: Eukaryota; Viridiplantae; Streptophyta; Magnoliopsida; Proteales; Proteaceae.